UACGGAGGGUGCGAGCGUUGUCCGGAAUCACUGGGCGUAAAGGGCGCGUAGGCGGCUCAUGAAGGCUGUGGUGAAAGUCCGGGGCUCAACCUCGGAUCGGCCGUGGCGACUCGUGGGCUGGAGCACUGUAGAGGCGGGUGGAAUUCCGGGUGUAGCGGUGGAAUGCGUAGAGAUCCGGAAGAACACCAGUGGCGAAGGCGGCCCGCUGGGCAGUGGCUGACGCUGAAGCGCGACAGCGUGGGGAGCAAACGAGGA
Molecule: ribosomal RNA, 255 nt
Filed under: uncultured bacterium
Lineage: Bacteria
Description: partial 16S ribosomal RNA
Rfam family: Bacterial small subunit ribosomal RNA
Source: RNAcentral